UUCGCAGUCGAGUUGAAAUCGAUCUGAAAA
Molecule: non-coding RNA, 30 nt
Filed under: Mus musculus (house mouse)
Lineage: Eukaryota; Metazoa; Chordata; Mammalia; Rodentia; Muridae
Source: RNAcentral